RNAcentral lists this unclassified non-coding RNA (1200 nucleotides) under Hevea brasiliensis (rubber tree). The record is from RNAcentral. Lineage: Eukaryota; Viridiplantae; Streptophyta; Magnoliopsida; Malpighiales; Euphorbiaceae.
GAAAAAAAAAAAAGGUAAAGUAACUAAUUACAGAAAGAAUGCCAUGCGAGAGAAUCUAAUCAAACGAACAUGGUCAUAGAAUCAUUAAAACACUCAAAACCAACACAAAUGUAUAACAAAUUUUCCAUGGAUAAUGAUUUCUCCCAUCAUCUGCUGUGACACUGCCUGCGGCUGAAAGAGAAAAGAAACUAUAAGGAUUAGCAAAGAAUCAUAGUUGCUAAAUAUCCACACUUAAGGCACACGUUAGGUCCAAAAAUCUGUAAUAAUGAUUAGAGAAUGGCCAAUUCUUACCACACUCUCUCGUAGCAUUAUUGGAAGCAGAGCAUAGACACAGCAUUCCCUCCGUCUCUGUGUCAAAUCCACAAGUACCACCAGACUGUGAGCACCGCUCACAUCCAGUAUCUGGCACGCUAAAAGAUAGUUUGAUGCCAUAUACCCAAUCCAAGGGCCCAAUACCCUUCAAGUUAUCAACGUUAACCACAGUAGUGUAAUGGGUGCAGUCCAAAAUAUUCAUGCUCAUAAACUUCACCGUGUCAUACCCAGUAAAACAACAAGGCGGAGAACUGUUGGUAAGCAAAUGGAAGACUCUGAAAGCAUUGCAGGAGCCGUAUAGCUCGUCACAGGAGUGGUCAGAGAAGUUGAAGCAGAGGUUCUUGUAGUGGUUAAGAACUGGAGAGUCAAUAGAGCAAUUGAGGAGAGCAAAGACGGUGUCUGGAGUUGGAGGGAUUAUGAAAGAUUGUAUUUCAGUCAUGAUAAAGUCAUGGUGAGGCUGAAGAAUGGAGCACGUAGACAUGGCAGGAUCGUAAACCACCAUAGUUUUCUUAUCGUAGUCAAUGUGCUGGACUUUGUAGCUACCAGAAGGGGUUAUGAAGAACAAGUCAUUGCUGCAGUUAAACAUGCCGCGAAACUGUGGCGCCCCACACCCGUCAUCGACGCCGAAGGGGUAGUGUAUCUCAAUGCUGCCACAGGAGGUUCUGCAGGAAGUGAGAGCGAGGGCAGGCAGUAAUUGAAGUGUUGAGGCAGUGAGUAUGAGAGUGAAGAUGGUGAGUGGAGAAUGCAUUUCUUUGCUAUAAUUUCCCGUUAUCUCAAAACAUUUGAUAUGUGAGAAUAAGGAGAGGUAAAGGGAAAUAUGUAAUUGGAAACCAGAAAGAUGGAUCACUUUUGCUCCAUCGGUUAUAACGAAAGGAGGUUGGAGUUGAU